GAUGAACGCUAGCGGCAGGCUUAAUACAUGCAAGUCGGGGGGCAGCAGGACUGUAGCAAUACAGUUGCUGGCGACCGGCAAACGGGUGCGGAACACGUACGCAACUUACCCUGAACUGGGGGAUAGCCCGGGGAAACCCGGAUUAAUACCCCGUAAUAUAAUGGAGUGGCAUCACUUUAUUAUUAAAGCUCCGGCGGUUCGGGAUGGGCGUGCGGCUGAUUAGGUAGUUGGUUGAGGUAACGGCUCACCAAGCCUACGAUCAGUAACUGGUGUGAGAGCACGCCCGGUCACAGGGGCACUGAGACCCGGCCCCGCCUCCGCGGGGGGGCAGCAGUAAGGAAUAUGGGGAAGGGGAGCCACCUCUGCCCCCGCCGCCCGGGGGGGAGGAUGAGGGCCCUUUGUGUUGUAAUUUUUUUUUAUGGGGGACAAACCCUGUUUUUUCUUCGGCAGUGCAGGUCCCCCAAGAAAAAACCCCCGGCAACCCCCGUC
Molecule: ribosomal RNA, 489 nt
Filed under: uncultured bacterium
Lineage: Bacteria
Description: partial 16S ribosomal RNA
Rfam family: Bacterial small subunit ribosomal RNA
Source: RNAcentral